UUAAAUGUAAAAUUUUUAUUUAAUUAUUAUUAGUUAUGGUCUUUAAAAUUAAAAAUUUUGGCGGUAUUUUAGUCUUUUUAGAGGAACCUGUUCUUUAAAUGAUAAUCCACGAUUUUAUUAACUUUUAUUAUUAGUUUGUAUAUCGUCGUAAUUAAAUAUUUUUUUAGAAUUAAAAUAUUUAGAAUUUUUAUAAAAAAAUUAAUCAGAUCAAGGUGCAGUUUAUAUAAAAGUAGAAAUGGGUUACAAUAAAGGUAUUUUUGGAUUUUAAAUAUUAAUAUUUAAAUGAAAUUGGAUUUAAAUGUAAUAUUAAUUAAUUAGUUAAUAUGAUUUUGGCUCUAAGAUAUGU
RNAcentral lists this ribosomal RNA (346 nucleotides) under Diabrotica scutellata. Its description in RNAcentral is "partial 12S ribosomal RNA". Lineage: Eukaryota; Metazoa; Arthropoda; Insecta; Coleoptera; Chrysomelidae. The record is from RNAcentral.